AGAGUUUGAUCAUGGCUCAGGACGAACGCUGGCGGCGUGCUUAACACAUGCAAGUCGAACGGAAAGGCCCUUCGGGGUACUCGGGUGGCGAACGGGUGAGUAACACGUGGGUGAUCUGCCCUGCACUUUGGGAUAAGCCUGGGAACCUGGGUCUAAUACCGAAUAUGACCAUGCGCCUCCUGGUGUGUGGUGGAAAGCUUUUGCGGUGUGGGAUGGGCCCGCGGCCUAUCAGCUUGUUGGUGGGGUAAUGGCCUACCAAGGCGACGACGGGUAGCCGGCCUGAGAGGGUGACCGGCCACACUGGGACUGAGAUACGGCCCAGACUCCUACGGGAGGCAGCAGUGGGGAAUAUUGCACAAUGGGCGCAAGCCUGAUGCAGCGACGCCGCGUGAGGGAUGACGGCCUUCGGGUUGUAAACCUCUUUCAGCACAGACGAAGCGCAAGUGACGGUAUGUGCAGAAGAAGGACCGGUCAACUACGUGCCAGCAGCCGCGGUAAUACGUAGGGUCCGAGCGUUGUCCGGAAUUACUGGGCGUAGAGAGCUCGUAGGUGGUUUGUCGCGUUGUUCGUGAAAACUCACAGCUUAACUGUGGGCGUGCGGGCGAUACGGGCAGACUUGAGUACUGCAGGGGAGACUGGAAUUCCUGGUGUAGCGGUGGAAUGCGCAGAUAUCAGGAGGAACACCGGUGGCGAAGGCGGGUCUCUGGGCAGUAACUGACGCUGAGGAGCGAAAGCGUGGGGAGCGAACAGGAUUAGAUACCCCGGUAGUCC
RNAcentral lists this ribosomal RNA (771 nucleotides) under uncultured bacterium. RNAcentral describes it as "bacterial SSU rRNA". It matches the Rfam family "Bacterial small subunit ribosomal RNA", at positions 8 to 796 of the family's 1533-position model. The record is from RNAcentral.